RNAcentral lists this transfer RNA (83 nucleotides) under Lentimicrobiaceae bacterium. Its description in RNAcentral is "tRNA-Tyr". It matches the Rfam family "tRNA". From Rfam's summary of the family: Transfer RNA (tRNA) molecules are approximately 80 nucleotides in length. Their secondary structure includes four short double-helical elements and three loops (D, anti-codon, and T loops). RNAcentral also lists the same sequence under 1 other name. The record is from RNAcentral. Lineage: Bacteria; Pseudomonadati; Bacteroidota; Bacteroidia; Bacteroidales; Lentimicrobiaceae.
GGGGAGAUUCCAGAGCGGUCAAAUGGGGCAGACUGUAAAUCUGUUGGCGGACGCCUUCGGAGGUUCGAAUCCUCCUCUCCCCA